This 73-nucleotide transfer RNA is filed under the name Ovis aries (sheep). It matches the Rfam family "tRNA". From Rfam's summary of the family: Transfer RNA (tRNA) molecules are approximately 80 nucleotides in length. Lineage: Eukaryota; Metazoa; Chordata; Mammalia; Artiodactyla; Bovidae. The record is from Rfam by way of RNAcentral.
UCCUUGGUGGUCCAGUGAUUAAGACUCUGCACUUCCACUGCAGGGGGCGAAGGUUCGAUCCCCACUCGGGGGG